Small nuclear RNA from Colobus angolensis palliatus, 107 nucleotides. The record is from Ensembl. NCBI's taxonomy places the organism in Eukaryota, Metazoa, Chordata, Mammalia, Primates, Cercopithecidae.
GUGCUCACUUCAGCAGCACAUAUACUAAAAUUGGAACAAUACAGGGAAAAUUAGCAUGGCCCCUGUGCAAGGAUGACAAACAAAUUCAUGAAGCGUUGCAUGUUUAA